Molecule: small RNA, 640 nt
Filed under: uncultured fungus
Lineage: Eukaryota; Fungi
Description: eukaryotic LSU rRNA
Rfam family: 5.8S ribosomal RNA (bases 215-369)
Source: RNAcentral
GGAAGGAUCAUUACCGAAUUGUCAAACACGGGUUGUUGCUGGCCCCCGAACGGGGCAUGUGCACGCUCUGUUUACACAUCCACUCACACCUGUGCACCCUCUGUAGUUCUGUGGACCGGGAGACGUUGUCUUCCUUCCGUAGCUCUACGUCUUUACACACACACCGUAGCGAUGUCUCAUGGAAUGUUUUUUCGCGUUUAACGCAAUACAAUACAACUUUCAGCAACGGAUCUCUUGGCUCUCGCAUCGAUGAAGAACGCAGCGAAAUGCGAUAAGUAAUGUGAAUUGCAGAAUUCAGUGAAUCAUCGAAUCUUUGAACGCACCUUGCGCCCCUUGGUUAUUCCUCGGAGCAUGCCUGUUUGAGUAUCAUGAACACCUCAACUCUCAUGGUCUUCCAUGAUGAGCUUGGACUUUGGGGGUUUGCUGACCUUGUGGCCGGCUCCUCUCAAAUGAAUCAGCUUGCCAGUGUUUGGCGGCGUCACGGGUGUGAUAACUAUCUACGCUCGCGGUUGUCCGUCAGGUAACCCUCAGCGAUGAAGGUUCAUUGGGGCUCAUAAAUGUCUCUCCCCAGCGAGGACAACUUUUGAAUGUUCGAUCUCAAAUCAGGUAGGACUACCCGCUGAACUUAAGCAUAUCAAUA